RNAcentral lists this ribosomal RNA (537 nucleotides) under Triticum aestivum (bread wheat). RNAcentral's name for it is "partial small subunit ribosomal RNA". The record is from RNAcentral. Lineage: Eukaryota; Viridiplantae; Streptophyta; Magnoliopsida; Poales; Poaceae.
AUGUGUGUGCCACAGAGCAAUGGAGGUAUGGGUUUUAGAGAUGUACACUGCUUCAAUCUGGCGCUCCUAGCAAAGCAGUGCUGAAGAUUGUUAGCAGAACCAGAUUCUUUAUGUGCCAGAGUAUUGAGGGCAAAGUAUUUCCCGGACGGUGAUUUGCUGAACUGUUCCCUUAAGAAAUGCAGUUCUUAUACAUGGCAAAGCUUGUGGAGUGGUAUUCAGACUUUCAAAAAAGGUUAUAUAUGGAGAAUGGGAGAUGGCACUCAAAUAAGUAUCUGGAGUGAUCCUUGGGUACCCAGCAGCCCAAACAGGAAGGUAAUGACUCCACGAUGUACUAUCUUACCUACAAAAGUUUCUGAACUUAUGGAUGAGGAGAAUGGGUGCUGGGAUGAGCAACUUAUUAGACAUAUAUUCUGGCCCAUUGAUGCAACUCGUAUUUUGAAUAUACCCGUGGCUACGGGGAUGAUGGAGGACUUUGUUUCAUGGCACACAAACAAAUCUGGAAUUUUCUCGGUCAGGACGGCUUAUCACAUGGAGUGA